Choloepus hoffmanni (Hoffmann's two-fingered sloth) is the source of this 135-nucleotide small nucleolar RNA. Its record names the gene SNORA70. It matches the Rfam family "Small nucleolar RNA SNORA70". Rfam says of the family: snoRNA U70 seems to be exclusive to mammals and is a member of the H/ACA class of snoRNA which contain H (ANANNA) and ACA box motifs. H/ACA box snoRNAs are involved in the conversion of uridines to pseudouridines (5-ribosyluracil) a constituent of structural RNAs (transfer, ribosomal, small nuclear, and small nucleolar). The record is from Ensembl. NCBI's taxonomy places the organism in Eukaryota, Metazoa, Chordata, Mammalia, Pilosa, Megalonychidae.
AUGCAGUCAGUUAAGCGAACUGACUUCCUCUUCCUAUGGAGUCCCAGUCUGCAGUGGCUGCAGACAGCAGCUUCCUUGGUGGUGUACAUUAUCUGUGGUUUAUACAGGUUGCCUUAAGGGACCACGGGGACAGCA